This 1433-nucleotide long non-coding RNA is filed under the name Sus scrofa (pig). Its description in RNAcentral is "lncRNA (ENSSSCG00025066800.1)". The record is from RNAcentral. Lineage: Eukaryota; Metazoa; Chordata; Mammalia; Artiodactyla; Suidae.
CUUUCACCAUGCACGUGGAAUGUCGUUUAGACACCUACUGUUUUGGAGGUGUCCUUUUCCUAGUAGAAAUAUGCGACUUGGAGUUUUAGCUUUGUGCCAUAGCUACAGCAGCUGACCGUGACCCACACUGGAACAAAGAGAAACAUGUGGUUUGUGAAGAGAAAGAAUGAAAGUGUGGGGGAUGAAGAACCUUUGAUUUCUGAGUGGCCGCAUGAUCACCUAUAUAAUCGAGUAGCAGCUAUGCUGUGUUCAGUUACUAAAGGUGAGGAACUUGGGACUGAGGCUAAUUGACUUGCUCAAGGUCACUUCAUGAACCAGUAGCCUACCUGAGAUACAGCCCAAGUCUCUUGACUCUCAGCCCAGGCUCUGUGCACCAGAUGUGCUCUGCCAUCAUUCUGCCAUCAGUAAGCACCCAGAAUUCUUAAACAGAAACCUGAUCAUUCAUCGCUCUACUUCAGUGUCCUUUUGGCACCAUCCUUGCAGCUGACGAUGACCUGCAGGAGAUACUGACUACCACUCUUUAUGCAGCUAAAAUGGCACCUGACCUAGGAUAUGGAAAAGGUAAAGGAAGAUAUCCCAUUGGCGCUUAAGGAACUAUGGUACUCAGCUACUCUUCCAUGCCAACAAAGUCAACCAGUACAUUGCAAAAAUGCGCAUGAGCUACAAGAGAGCCUGACCUCCAUUAACUUUCAGAGAGUAAACAAUGGCUGCUGUUCUCCUUCCUUUCAGGUCUCAAAUUUGAAAUUUCAGAUUUCUCUGGUGGCCAAACCUAACCACCAAAAACUUACACAGAAAGAAAUUCUAGGAAACAUAGUUCAGUUUAGCCAAGUUGACUCUUCACAAAAUCAUACAUGGAAUUUAUUUUGUGUAUUCUGUGGGGUAGUAAUCAAAAUCUAUUUUGCUCUAUAUGGAUAUUUCCAGCCCCAUUUAUUGAAUACCCCAUGCUAUUCUCCACUGAUUUGCAAUGCAACUUUUAUAACACAUUAUAUUUCAUUAUAUAGUUUGUUCUGAAAUAUUUUAUUCUGUUGCUAGUUGUUGAUUUCUCUGCUACUGCUUUACAGUUUUACUUAGUAUGACUAUUAUAAGUCUUGUUAUCAAUGGUAAAAUAAUUUCCACAGUCUUAUUUUAUUUUCAUUAGGAAUAUUUUGCUUCAUCUGACUCUUUGCUCUAUAUGAAAUUUUAGAAUCACCCUGGCAUUGUCACUGCAGUUGCUUUAAGUUUAUGUAUAAAUUUGUUAUCUUCAUGAUAUUGAGCCAUUUUAUAUAUAAACAUGAUGUAGCUCUAAAAAUAUUUAAUCUUUCUUUAAUGCUUUCUUUAUUAAAGUUUUAUAAUUUUGUAAGAUCAUGCAUGUAUUUAUUCCUAAAUACUUUUUAAAAUGCUAUCAUAUUUGAAAUAAUAACUUUAAAAUUAAAUUAAAAAUUUUUGAUCUAUAG